RNAcentral lists this ribosomal RNA (816 nucleotides) under uncultured bacterium. RNAcentral's name for it is "bacterial SSU rRNA". It matches the Rfam family "Bacterial small subunit ribosomal RNA", at positions 56 to 919 of the family's 1533-position model. The record is from RNAcentral.
UGCAAGUCGAGCGCACCCUUCGGGGCGAGCGGCGGACGGGUUAGUAACGCGUGGGAACAUACCCUUUGGUACGGAAUAGCCUCUGGAAACGGAGAGUAAUACCGUAUGUGCCCUUCGGGGGAAAGAUUUAUCGCCAAAGGAUUGGCCCGCAUAAGAUUAGAUAGUUGGUGGGGUAAUGGCCUACCAAGUCUACGAUCUAUAGCUGGUUUUAGAGGAUGAUCAGCAACACUGGGACUGAGACACGGCCCAGACUCCUACGGGAGGCAGCAGUGGGGAAUCUUAGACAAUGGGCGCAAGCCUGAUCUAGCCAUGCCGCGUGUGUGAUGAAGGCCUUAGGGUCGUAAAGCACUUUCGCCAGGGAUGAUAAUGACAGUACCUGGUAAAGAAACCCCGGCUAACUCCGUGCCAGCAGCCGCGGUAAUACGGAGGGGGUUAGCGUUGUUCGGAAUUACUGGGCGUAAAGCGUACGUAGGCGGAUCAGAAAGUAAGGGGUGAAAUCCCAGGGCUCAACCCUGGAACUGCCUCUUAAACUCCUGGUCUUGAGUUCGAGAGAGGUGAGUGGAAUUCCGAGUGUAGAGGUGAAAUUCGUAGAUAUUCGGAGGAACACCAGUGGCGAAGGCGGCUCACUGGCUCGAUACUGACGCUGAGGUACGAAAGUGUGGGGAGCAAACAGGAUUAGAUACCCUGGUAGUCCACACCGUAAACGAUGAAUGCCAGUCGUCGGGCAGUAUACUGUUCGGUGACACACCUAACGGAUUAAGCAUUCCGCCUGGGGAGUACGGUCGCAAGAUUAAAGCUCAAAGGAAUUGACGGGGG